This 73-nucleotide transfer RNA is filed under the name Bos taurus (domestic cattle). It matches the Rfam family "tRNA". From Rfam's summary of the family: Transfer RNA (tRNA) molecules are approximately 80 nucleotides in length. Their secondary structure includes four short double-helical elements and three loops (D, anti-codon, and T loops). The record is from Rfam by way of RNAcentral. Lineage: Eukaryota; Metazoa; Chordata; Mammalia; Artiodactyla; Bovidae. RNAcentral also lists the same sequence under 1 other name.
UCCCUGGUGGUCCAGUGGCUAAGACUCCGUGCUCCCAAUGUGGGCAGCCCGGGUUCAAUCCCUGGCCAGGGAA